GACGAACGCUGGCGGCGUGCUUAACACAUGCAAGUCGAACGGAAAGGCCCUGCUUUUGUGGGGUGCUCGAGUGGCGAACGGGUGAGUAACACGUGAGUAACCUGCCCUUGACUUUGGGAUAACUUCAGGAAACUGGGGCUAAUACCGGAUAGGAGCUCCUGCUGCAUGGUGGGGGUUGGAAAGUUUCGGCGGUUGGGGAUGGACUCGCGGCUUAUCAGCUUGUUGGUGGGGUAGUGGCUUACCAAGGCUUUGACGGGUAGCCGGCCUGAGAGGGUGACCGGCCACAUUGGGACUGAGAUGCGGCCCAGACUCCUACGGGAGGCAGAAGUGGGGAAUAUUGCACAAUGGGCGGAAGCCUGAUGCAGCAACGCCGCGUGCGGGAUGACGGCCUUCGGGUUGUAAACCGCUUUCGCCUGUGACGAAGCGUGAGUGACGGUAAUGGGUAAAGAAGCACCGGCUAACUACGUG
Molecule: ribosomal RNA, 468 nt
Filed under: uncultured bacterium
Lineage: Bacteria
Description: partial 16S ribosomal RNA
Rfam family: Bacterial small subunit ribosomal RNA
Source: RNAcentral